This 305-nucleotide ribosomal RNA is filed under the name uncultured bacterium. RNAcentral's name for it is "partial 16S ribosomal RNA". It matches the Rfam family "Bacterial small subunit ribosomal RNA", at positions 333 to 639 of the family's 1533-position model. The record is from RNAcentral.
ACAAUCCUACGGGGGGCAGCAGUGGGGGAUAUUGCACAAUGGGGGAAACCCUGAUGCAGCGACGCCGCGUGAGUGAAGAAGUAUUUCGGUAUGUAAAGCUCUAUCGGCAGGGAAGAAAAAGCGCGCGAGCGCCCUUGACAGUACCUGACUAAGAAGCCCCGGCUAACUACGUGCCAGCAGCCGCGGUAAUACGUAGGGGGCAAGCGUUAUCCGGAUUUACUGGGGGGAAAGGGAGCGUAGGCGGCCAUGCAAGUCAGAAGUGAAAACCCGGGGCUCAACCCUGGGGGUGCUUUUGAAACUGUGCG